GUGGGAACUGCUGAGUCAUGGCCUGAACCACUGAUUGAGCUCCUGGAGGAAAGACUCAGUCAACCCUGGGAGCACAGGUGAAGGCAGUUCACUUGUGCCUCCGGAAACGGGUGGAGCCAGGCACAGACACAGAAUCAGGAUCAGAAUCUUCUGAUAUGACCUGUCUGCCCUUGAAUUUACACAUCCACUGUCGGAAUGUGCUACAGAAAAGCCUCAAUGGAUUUCUAGCGCCAGUGCUUUCCUGCAAGUGGCAUGUGAGGACAGGUGAGAAGAUAACACAGUGCUGCAAGCAUUGACGGAUCCUCUGAUGACAGGACAGAUUGGUCAUGCUACAGAGCUAGGAAGAUCCAAAAGAAGAAAGUAGAAUGGA
RNAcentral lists this long non-coding RNA (370 nucleotides) under Numida meleagris (helmeted guineafowl). RNAcentral describes it as "lncRNA (ENSNMEG00000004507.1)". Lineage: Eukaryota; Metazoa; Chordata; Aves; Galliformes; Numididae. The record is from RNAcentral.